CGGGACGUGGCGCAGCUUGGUAGCGCACUUGACUGGGGGUCAAGGGGUCGUCGGUUCGAAUCCGGCCGUCCCGA
Molecule: non-coding RNA, 74 nt
Organism: Micromonospora coxensis
Lineage: Bacteria; Bacillati; Actinomycetota; Actinomycetes; Micromonosporales; Micromonosporaceae
Source: Rfam